AUGUCUCCGGCUCAUUCUGCCCCUCCGCCCACUUUCUCCGACUGCCGCUGACGGAGUGAAAUAGAAGCUUGGUUUUGCCGUUUGCAACUGCUCAUCUGAUCAUCUCAAGUCUGGUGACCUGCUACAGAAGCUCUCUCCCUCUAUCAUUAACAAGCAAUUCAGUCUGUCCUAUCACUCUCCCCACUCUAUCUAUUUUGACAAGAC
Pelmatolapia mariae (spotted tilapia) is the source of this 204-nucleotide long non-coding RNA. RefSeq lists it as uncharacterized. The record is from RefSeq and is a predicted model, not a curated record. The transcript has 4 exons. NCBI's taxonomy places the organism in Eukaryota, Metazoa, Chordata, Actinopteri, Cichliformes, Cichlidae.